Molecule: unclassified non-coding RNA, 242 nt
Filed under: uncultured Boletaceae
Lineage: Eukaryota; Fungi; Basidiomycota; Agaricomycetes; Boletales; Boletaceae
Description: sequence contains ITS1
Source: RNAcentral
UCGAAAUAAAUAAAUUCAAAGAGGGAAGAUGGAAUAGCAGUCUAGGACUGUCGCUGGCUCUGCAUGUGCAUGUGCACGUCCUUGCUAUCUCUGUCGACCUUUCUUAAUUUAAUUAUACACACCUGUGCACCUAUUGUAGGUCCUUGCAAGAGGAUCUACGUUUUUCACUUUACAUCCCUAUCGUAUGUCUAUAGAAUGUUUUCAAAGACCAAGACCUUGGUCAAUGAAAUAAAAAUCAUAUA